Molecule: non-coding RNA, 143 nt
Organism: Xenorhabdus doucetiae
Lineage: Bacteria; Pseudomonadati; Pseudomonadota; Gammaproteobacteria; Enterobacterales; Morganellaceae
Source: Rfam
AAAUAAAAAAAGGCCGAGUUCACUCCUCUACUCGGCCUAGGGAAAAAUGGCUCUAUCAAAGAGCCUUGCGCUAAAAGUUACCAUUGAGACGUAGAACAACUUACCAUUUAAAGCGUAGUUGACAUGCAAUGAUUUACCAAGUU